UCCUCGGUAGCUCAAUGGUAGAGCAACCGGCUGUUAACCGGUUGGUUGUAGGUUCGAGUCCUACCCGAGGAGCCA
RNAcentral lists this transfer RNA (75 nucleotides) under bacterium. RNAcentral describes it as "tRNA-Asn". It matches the Rfam family "tRNA". Rfam says of the family: Transfer RNA (tRNA) molecules are approximately 80 nucleotides in length. Their secondary structure includes four short double-helical elements and three loops (D, anti-codon, and T loops). Further hydrogen bonds mediate the characteristic L-shaped molecular structure. tRNAs have two regions of fundamental functional importance: the anti-codon, which is responsible for specific mRNA codon recognition, and the 3' end, to which the tRNAs corresponding amino acid is attached (by aminoacyl-tRNA synthetases). tRNAs cope with the degeneracy of the genetic code in two manners: having more than one tRNA (with a specific anti-codon) for a particular amino acid; and 'wobble' base-pairing, i.e. permitting non-standard base-pairing at the 3rd anti-codon position. The record is from RNAcentral.